RNAcentral lists this ribosomal RNA (492 nucleotides) under uncultured bacterium. RNAcentral's name for it is "partial 16S ribosomal RNA". It matches the Rfam family "Bacterial small subunit ribosomal RNA", at positions 29 to 507 of the family's 1533-position model. The record is from RNAcentral.
AGUGAACGCUGGCGGUAGGCCUAACACAUGCAAGUCGAACGGCAGCACAGUAAGAGCUUGCUCUUACGGGUGGCGAGUGGCGGACGGGUGAGGAAUACAUCGGAAUCUACUUUUUCGUGGGGGAUAACGCAGGGAAACUUACGCUAAUACCGCAUACGACCUACGGGUGAAAGCAGGGGAUCUUCGGACCUUGCGCGAUUGAAUGAGCCGAUGUCGGAUUAGCUAGUUGGCGGGGUAAAGGCCCACCAAGGCGACGAUCCGUAGCUGGUCUGAGAGGAUGAUCAGCCACACUGGAACUGAGACACGGUCCAGACUCCUACGGGAGGCAGCAGUGGGGAAUAUUGGACAAUGGGCGCAAGCCUGAUCCAGCCAUACCGCGUGGGUGAAGAAGGCCUUCGGGUUGUAAAGCCCUUUUGUUGAGAAAGAAAAGCAGCAGGUUAAUACCCCGCUGUUCUGACGGUACCCAAAGAAUAAGCACCGGCUAACUUCGUG